GGUGACCAUGGAAACAUGGAACAGCUAAUAAAUCCUGGAUAAUACUCACGCUGCAUUUGAUUUUGCUGUCAUCUGGUACCUGCUCUUAAUGUUGGGUGAUCGCAGUACAUAAUUUACCGGAUGGCAACAGCACCUGAAUUUUACCUGAUGGGCCAGCUGAUCCCCCUCACUCUCCAAGGACCAGAUGAGAGCAUGCUGGAAAUGAACCAAUCUGCAGGGAAGGGAAACAACUCAAUAUUCAAGCUCCAUGUCAUAGAUGCAGGACUGGCUGUAUAGUUGAAAAGCCUAUUGGGGUCGUUGAAUAGAAAUUUCUGCUAUCUAUCUAUCCAGCCUAAUACAUAGUCAUCUGUUGGAUUCUCCCAAAAUGGGUCUGUGAUUAAAGGAGCGAG
Molecule: long non-coding RNA, 389 nt
Organism: Mustela putorius furo (domestic ferret)
Lineage: Eukaryota; Metazoa; Chordata; Mammalia; Carnivora; Mustelidae
Source: Ensembl